AUACGUAGGUGGCGAGCGUUGUCCGGAUUUACUGGGUGUAAAGGGCGUGUAGGCGGGACAGCAAGUCAGGUGUGAAAUGCGGAGGCUCAACCUCCGAACUGCAUUUGAAACUGCUGUUCUUGAGUGAUGGAGAGGUAAGCGGAAUUCCCGGUGUAGCGGUAGAAUGCGUAGAUAUCGGGAGGAACACCAGUGGCGAAGGCGGCUUACUGGACAUUUACUGACGCUGAGGCGCGAAAGUGUGGGGAGCAAACAGGAUUAGAUACCCUGGUAGUCCACACUGUAAACGAUGGAUACUAGGUGUGGGGGGACUGACCCCUUCCGUGCCGGAGUUAACACAAUAAGUAUCCCACCUGGGGAGUACGGUCGCAAGAUUAAAACUCAAAUGAAUUGACGGGG
This 396-nucleotide ribosomal RNA is filed under the name uncultured bacterium. RNAcentral's name for it is "partial 16S ribosomal RNA". It matches the Rfam family "Bacterial small subunit ribosomal RNA", at positions 523 to 918 of the family's 1533-position model. The record is from RNAcentral.